CAUAAGCAUUUCUGUCUCUUCUAUAUAUUUUAUAUCCUUGUAUUGCUACUGCUGUAUCAUCAUAUAAAUUAAGUGAGUCUCAGAAAUGGCUAAUAUAUGAAUGUUAUCUGAUGUUAGCAAGUUAUUUAUUUCAUGAACCUUAUUUCUAAGGCUACAUAUAUUAAUUUGAGCUAUUUUCAGCUCUUUCCUGGGUAGCUUCUUAGAGAUAGACAUAAUAUGGAAAAAAGCAAACAAACCAAGAGAAAUAAAUAUACAUUCAGAAGUCCAUUAAUUAAUUAGUGUGUGCUCCGGGGUUUAAGCUACGAACCCAUAGGCGUGGCUCUCUCAUCCCUUCCAGGCUUCUGGGAGGGAGGGUGGACAAUGAGCCUGUCAUAGCGAAUGUAAGCAAUGUCCCCACGUGCUCUGGCAGGUUUCAUGGCUGGGAUAAGUUCUUUCGUCUUCUGGCGCACAGCUUCAGGAUAGUCCUCGUUGAGGAAGAUAUACGUUCCUCUCAAGUUCUUGGCUCUUUCCAGAACAGCUACCUUGUCCUUGAACAUCAGGAACUUGACCACUAUCAGCCUCAGCCUGUCACCUGGGCCGGUGAUGGGUUUUCCAGUCCUGUGGGCAUGCACCACCUCAAUCUUCCAGUGUACCAUCUUCAAUUUCUCAGAGAUAAUUUCCCCCACUUUGUCCUCAGCCUUUGUCCAGGUCUCGUGGAUAUCUUGCAAUUCCAUCCACAACCAUGUUCUUCCUCCUUGAGUCUGAUUUAUCCAUCAUAGUUAUCAUGGAUUCACACAAAACUGAUGUCCUCUCUCAAUGACUUACAGAUUGUUGUCAUCUUGCUAUUCUCCUGUUUCACCUCAUCGAGCUGACCCAGGGAGAACUGCAAACUGUUCUUCAGGUCCUGAACCUCUCUGGUCAGGUUGUCCAUUAGUUGAAUCGACCAGUAUUUAGACAAAACACUUGAAGCUAUUUUCUUGUUGUUGUAACAACUGCUUGUAGAACUAUUUUUAUUAGUUUAAAAGAUCCUUUACCUGUGAUAGAGAGACACCACUGUCCUCAACGGUACUCCUGCCUGCUUUAGUCUUUGUCAUGGUAGCUAGCAACGUAGGUUACGAGGUUACUCCUUGCAGUUCCAGACAGGGCAGGUCACAGGGAAGAUUGAACACAACAAACAGCAGGGAUCUAUACAGCCACAAACCCAGGAGAAUCCGCGGUCCCAGCCACAAUGGCUAACCACGUUGCGGGCUGCGUUCAAGCCCUCAGUAAUCCCUGUUAGCUUGAUAUGCAGCUAGCUAACAGUUAGGCUAGCUGCUAUGCCAAAUAUUUUCUCAGACCCUGCCUUGGUUGGCAGGAUUACUGGACAGAGAGUUUCAGUCCUAGCAACUUAUGCCAAAUGCAUCCCGGGAUCCAAACUAAAAAGGUAGCUAGCUACUAAGAAACUUUGCAAUACACUUUCAAAACAACUAACUUUUCAAAACAACAAACCGAGCUCUCUCUUGUUCCCACGUUCAACAGGAAGUGUUCAAAAGGACCUAGAUUUUAACCUUUUAUUUUAAAGAUGCAAUAUGUUUUUGGGCGACCUGACAAAAUUCACAUAGAAAUGUGAGUUAUAGAUCUGUCAUUCGCAUUGUGCUGAAUGUGUCAAUGUGUAGUUCAUAUAUACAUAAUCCGUGAGCAUAAUUACUCUUACCUCAAUUAGCCACGAAAUCCCUAGUUUGAAAGCAACUGUUUACUGGAAGCUGUGCGGUGCCAUUUUCCCCCCACGUGGACCAGCACCUAGCAAUUAGAGUUUUAGCCAAUGAGCUUCAGCCCCUCGCCAUUUGAGUGACAGCUAGCAAGAUGCACACACAGCAGAGCGAGACAGACCACUUUUGGCUCAUGAGCGCUACUUUCAAAACUACUGGCUAGAAAGUACACAAAAGUACAGAAAAAUCUCUUUAAUCCCCAACAUUACCCAUUUUCUUGGAUAUGGCUCAAUAUUGAUCUAUAUAUAUUGAUCUCUUUCAUUCAUUUCCAGCAUAAUAAUAAUAAGGUCCAGUGAAUUGACUAGUGGAAAAGGUAAGUCCUAUAUACAGUAGAGCAAUGUUAUCUUUUCUGUCUAAUUCAAAUGAUUCACAUGGUAAUUUGGUGUCGGGGCAGAACAUGAUGCCUUUCUGGGCAGCAGUAAUUUGCAUGGCUCUCACAUUAAACAACUUCAGAGACAAUUGCACUGAGUGGAGACCAUUUAAUAUGUUCUACCACUUAUCCCCGGGUGUGUGUCUAAUAGAAUUGUCCUGCAGUGUCGUUGAAGCCACCCUAGCGUUUUCUAUUCAGCUGGAGUCCACAUAGGUAAAUGUCACCUGUUGUGAUGUCUCGCCAACGCACCGUGAGGCCCAUUAUCCCACAUUAACGGAAGCCCGCUGUCGCCCUGGGUCUGUGUCACACGGAGCGACUUGGAGAGAGAGAGAGCCCAGCCAGGCUUCAGCAGUCACCCUGAGUCAUUGGCCAGAGGUAGGUGGUGCUGGGCCGGGGUUUGGGACAGCGUUUUUAACAGCCGACCCAUCCUUCAGACAAUGAGUCAUGCCGUAACCAGAGUAAUUGAAGCCAUCCCUCAUGUCGUCAUCCUGGUGAAACAAAACAAAGACGGACCCACAGUGUUGUACCCUUUAUCUGAGGAUGCCUCCAGGCAACAUCUACAGCGGCUUCAUUAACACAGGGGACACAGCUGAAUGUCUCCCAGAUAUUACACCCUCCGUUCCUCCGCUGCAGCAACAACAAGCUGACACACCUAGAUAGCCUCAGAUGACCUGACACACAUUUCCUUAAAAAUGGCCAACUUAAUAUCCGUCUGACUGCCCUACACUGCUCAUAUGUUCAGUCAUGAGGCUCUGGGAUUUGGUCUAACAGUUUCUGCCACCACCUUUGGUGCAUGUAAGUCUGUUUGAGUGUGGGAUCGGUCGAAUCCCAGUCCCAUAUCGCAUUUUCAACACAUUUUCUCCAUCUUUCCUGUUUCUCCACUAUCUCUUCUAUAGCAAUGAACAAUUACUAGAGUGGAACUCCCACUCUUUAAAAAUGGUUCAGUCAUGAGCACAGGAAUCUGCUGAAGGGAGGACGGCUCAUAAUAAUAGCCGGAACAGAGCGAAUUGAAUGUAUUUGAUACCAUUCCACUUAUUCUCACGAGCCCGACCUCCCCAAUUAAGAUGCCACGAACCACCUGUGGUCAUGAGUCUGGGCUUUGCAGUGACGGUCUUAUAGGGAAUUAUACUCAAGCCUAGAGUGUUUAUUUACCCUGUG
Long non-coding RNA from Oncorhynchus nerka (sockeye salmon), 3255 nucleotides. RefSeq lists it as uncharacterized. The record is from RefSeq and is a predicted model, not a curated record. Lineage: Eukaryota; Metazoa; Chordata; Actinopteri; Salmoniformes; Salmonidae. The transcript is spliced from 3 exons.